Molecule: ribosomal RNA, 492 nt
Filed under: uncultured bacterium
Lineage: Bacteria
Description: partial 16S ribosomal RNA
Rfam family: Bacterial small subunit ribosomal RNA
Source: RNAcentral
AUUGAACGCUGGCGGCAUGCUUUACACAUGCAAGUCGAACGGUAACAGGUUAAGCUGACGAGUGGCGAACGGGUGAGUAAUGCAUCGGAACGUGCCCGAUCGUGGGGGAUAACGCAGCGAAAGCUGCGCUAAUACCGCAUACGAUCUGAGGAUGAAAGCGGGGGACCGUAAGGCCUCGCGCGAUCGGAGCGGCCGAUGUCAGAUUAGGUAGUUGGGGGGGUAAAGGCCCACCAAGCCGACGAUCUGCAGCUGGUCUGAGAGGACGACCAGCCACACUGGGACUGAGACACGGCCCAGACUCCUACGGGAGGCAGCAGUGGGGAAUUUUGGACAAUGGGCGAAAGCCUGAUCCAGCAAUGCCGCGUGCAGGAAGAAGGCCUUCGGGUGUAAACUGCUUUUGUACGGAACGAAAAGGUCUCUCUUAAUACGGGGGGCUCAUGACGGUACCGUAAGAAUAAGCACCGGCUAACUACGUGCCAGCAGCCGCAGUAA